Molecule: ribosomal RNA, 116 nt
Filed under: Piaractus brachypomus (pirapitinga)
Lineage: Eukaryota; Metazoa; Chordata; Actinopteri; Characiformes; Serrasalmidae
Description: partial 12S ribosomal RNA
Source: RNAcentral
CUAUAUACCGCCGUCGCAAGCUUACCCUGUGAAGGGUCUGUAGUAAGCAAAAUGGGCAAGCCCCAGAACGUCAGGUCGAGGUGUAGCUUACGAGAUGGAAAGAAAUGGGCUACAUU